Molecule: ribosomal RNA, 254 nt
Filed under: uncultured prokaryote
Description: partial 16S ribosomal RNA
Rfam family: Bacterial small subunit ribosomal RNA
Source: RNAcentral
AAUACGGGGGGGGCAAGCGUUGUUCGGAAUUACUGGGCGUAAAGGGCGCGUAGGCGGCCUGCUAAGUCACACGUGAAAUCCCUCGGCUCAACCGAGGAACUGCGUGUGAUACUGGCGGGCUCGAAUUCGGGAGAGGGAUGUGGAAUUCCAGGUGUAGCGGUGAAAUGCGUAGAUAUCUGGAGGAACACCGGUGGCGAAGGCGGCAUCCUGGACCGACAUUGACGCUGAUGCGCGAAAGCUAGGGUAGCAAACGG